GGGGCUGUAGUGUAGCUUGGGCGCAUCAAUUCAUUGGUGCGGAGCACCUAUCAUUGGGGGUUCGGGGCCUCCAGACCGGAGUUCAAAUCUCCGCAGCCCCA
Molecule: transfer RNA, 101 nt
Filed under: Candidatus Woesearchaeota archaeon
Lineage: Archaea; Nanobdellati; Candidatus Woesearchaeota
Description: tRNA-OTHER
Source: RNAcentral